AAUCCAUAGGUUAAUGAGGCGAACCGGGGGAACUGAAACAUCUAAGUACCCCGAGGAAAAGAAAUCAACCGAGAUUCCCCCAGUAGCGGCGAGCGAACGGGGAGGAGCCCAGAGCCUGAAUCAGCAUGUGUGUUAGUGGAAGCGUCUGGAAAGGCGCGCGAUACAGGGUGACAGCCCCGUACACAAAAGCGCAUGUGCUGUGAGCUCGAUGAGUAGGGCGGGACACGUGGUAUCCUGUCUGAAUAUGGGGGGACCAUCCUCCAAGGCUAAAUACUCCUGACUGACCGAUAGUGAACCAGUACCGUGAGGGAAAGGCGAAAAGAACCCCGGCGAGGGGAGUGAAAAAGAACCUGAAACCGUGUACGUACAAGCAGUGGGAGCACCCUUUG
This 389-nucleotide ribosomal RNA is filed under the name Salmonella enterica. Its description in RNAcentral is "partial 23S ribosomal RNA". It matches the Rfam family "Bacterial large subunit ribosomal RNA", at positions 161 to 588 of the family's 2925-position model. Lineage: Bacteria; Pseudomonadati; Pseudomonadota; Gammaproteobacteria; Enterobacterales; Enterobacteriaceae. The record is from RNAcentral. RNAcentral also lists the same sequence under 6 other names.